GAUGAACGCUGGCGGCGUGCCUAAUACAUGCAAGUAGAACGCUGAAGGAGGAGCUUGCUCUUCUGGAAGAGUUGCGAACGGGUGAGUAACGCGUAGGUAACCUGCCUCUUAGCGGGGGAUAACUAUUGGAAACGAUAGCUAAUACCGCAUAAAAGUCGACAUUGCAUGAUGUUGACUUGAAAGGUGCAAAUGCAUCACUAAGAGAUGGACCUGCGUUGUAUUAGCUAGUUGGUGAGGUAACGGCUCACCAAGGCGACGAUACAUAGCCGACCUGAGAGGGUGAUCGGCCACACUGGGACUGAGACACGGCCCAGACUCCUACGGGAGGCAGCAGUAGGGAAUCUUCGGCAAUGGGGGCAACCCUGACCGAGCAACGCCGCGUGAGUGAAGAAGGUUUUCGGAUCGUAAAGCUCUGUUGUAAGAGAAGAACGAGUGUGAGAGUGGAAAGUUCACGC
Molecule: ribosomal RNA, 455 nt
Filed under: Streptococcus sp. oral taxon 057
Lineage: Bacteria; Bacillati; Bacillota; Bacilli; Lactobacillales; Streptococcaceae
Description: bacterial SSU rRNA
Rfam family: Bacterial small subunit ribosomal RNA
Source: RNAcentral